Molecule: ribosomal RNA, 474 nt
Filed under: uncultured bacterium
Lineage: Bacteria
Description: bacterial SSU rRNA
Rfam family: Bacterial small subunit ribosomal RNA
Source: RNAcentral
CGCUAUCACUCCUACGGGAGGCAGCAGUGGGGAAUAUUGCACAAUGGGGGAAACCCUGAUGCAGCCAUGCCGCGUGUGUGAAGAAGGCCUUCGGGUUGUAAAGCACUUUCAGUAGGGAGGAAGGUAGUGUAGUUAACACCUGCAUUAUUUGACGUUACCUACAGAAGAAGCACCGGCUAACUCCGUGCCAGCAGCCGCGGUAAUACGGAGGGUGCGAGCGUUAAUCGGAAUUACUGGGCGUAAAGCGCAUGCAGGCGGCCUGUUAAGUCAGAUGUGAAAGCCCCGGGGCUUAACCUCGGAAUUGCAUUUGAAACUGGCAGGCUAGAGUCUUGUAGAGGGGGUAGAAUUUCAGGUGUAGCGGUGAAAAUGCGUAGAGAUCUGAAGGAAUACCAGUGGCGAAGGCGGCCCCCUGGACAAAGACUGACGCUCAGAUGCGAAAGCGUGGGGAGCAAACAGGAUUAGAUACCCUGGUAG